AUGUUGGAUUUUGAGGUGCGUUAGAUCACCCGACGCAAGCAGUGUCAAGAGAAAACUAACCAAUGCAUGUACAAGUUCAUGGAAAUUUAGUGGUCAUUCAUCCAUUCGUUCUAAUUAAUGCCUCGGUAAACAUAACUUCUUGAGAAAAACGAGCGUACUAACGAAAGAAUCACUAGCUUACGCUCUGACCCGAGUAGCAUGGGGCACGUGGAAUCCCGUGUGAAUCAGCAAGGACCACCUUGCAAGGAUAAAUACUCCUGGGUGACCGAUAGCGAAGUAGUACCAUGAGGGAAAGGUGAAAAGAACCCCCGACCACUCACCGUCUACCUUGGUUGGAGAGAUUUUGAAACUGAAC
Non-coding RNA from Triticum aestivum (bread wheat), 355 nucleotides. NCBI's taxonomy places the organism in Eukaryota, Viridiplantae, Streptophyta, Magnoliopsida, Poales, Poaceae. The record is from Rfam.